This 447-nucleotide ribosomal RNA is filed under the name uncultured bacterium. RNAcentral describes it as "bacterial SSU rRNA". It matches the Rfam family "Bacterial small subunit ribosomal RNA", at positions 355 to 825 of the family's 1533-position model. The record is from RNAcentral.
UCGGGAAUUUUGGGCAAUGGGCGAAAGCCUGACCCAGCAACGCCGCGUGAAGGAUGAAGUUUUUCGGAAUGUAAACUUCGUAAAAAUAGGAAGAAUAAAUGACGGUACUAUUUAUAAGGUCCGGCUAACUACGUGCCAGCAGCCGCGGUAAUACGUAGGGACCAAGCGUUGUUCGGAUUUACUGGGCGUAAAGGGCGCGUAGGCGGCAAUUCAAGUCAUCUGUGAAAUCUCCGGGCUUAACUCGGAACGGUCAGAUGAUACUGCUUUGCUAGAGUGCAGAAGGGGCAAUCGGAAUUCUUGGUGUAGCGGUGAAAUGCGUAGAUAUCAAGAGGAACACCUGAGGUGAAGACGGGUUGCUGGGCUGACACUGACGCUGAGGCGCGAAAGCCAGGGGAGCAAACGGGAUUAGAUACCCCAGUAGUCCCUGAGCGGGCUGGCAAGGCGCAU